This 774-nucleotide ribosomal RNA is filed under the name uncultured Neocallimastigales. RNAcentral's name for it is "partial large subunit ribosomal RNA". It matches the Rfam family "Eukaryotic large subunit ribosomal RNA", at positions 24 to 633 of the family's 3401-position model. Lineage: Eukaryota; Fungi; Neocallimastigomycota; Neocallimastigomycetes; Neocallimastigales. The record is from RNAcentral.
UAUGUGAUCGUCUCUCGCAUAUCAAUAAGCGGAGGAAAAGAAACUAACAAGGAUUCCCCUAGUAACGGCGAGUGAAGCGGGAAGAGCUCAAAUUUGAAAUCUUAAAGGGUUUCCCUUUACGAAUUGUAGUUUAAAGAAGUGUUUUCUGUUGAGGUUUUGGUAAAAGUUCUUUGGAAUAGGACAUCAUAGAGGGUGAGAAUCCCGUAUUUGACCUUUACUUUCAACUUUGUGAUACACUUUCAAAGAGUCGGAUUGUUUGGGAAUGCAGUCCAAAAUGGGUGGUAAAUUUCAUCUAAAGCUAAAUAUUGGCGAGAGACCGAUAGCGAACAAGUACCGUGAGGGAAAGAUGAAAAGAACUUUGAAAAGAGAGUUAAACAGUACGUGAAAUUGUCAAAAGGGAAGCGUUUGACACCAGUGUUGUUUUUCUGAAAAUCAAUUAAAGAACUGUUUAUGCUAAGUUGUUUAGACUUUAUCAGCUAGCUGUUUAGUUUUGAGCUUUUCUUUAAUGCACUUUUCAGUUAACAAGUCAACAUCAAUUUCUUUUGCUGUAAAAAAGCUUGAGGAAGGUGGCUUGAGAUUCGUCUUAAGUGUUUAUAGCCUCUUGCCUAUGCAGUCGGAGAGAUUGAGGUCUGCAGCGUAGAUCCUUCGGGGCUAAAUGCAUUUGUGCUAAGUUAUAGCAUUUUAUAGACAACUUGUUGACUAUGAUUUGUCUUGUAGCUUACUCGCUUAUGUUAUUUUACCUACGCUUAGGAUGUUGAAGACUCUACAGAGAUA